Molecule: ribosomal RNA, 443 nt
Filed under: uncultured bacterium
Lineage: Bacteria
Description: partial 16S ribosomal RNA
Rfam family: Bacterial small subunit ribosomal RNA
Source: RNAcentral
CCUACGGGUGACAGCAGUGGGGAAUAUUGGGCAAUGGGCGCAAGCCUGACCCAGCAACGCCGCGUGAAGGAAGAAGGCUUUCGGGUUGUAAACUUCUUUUCUCAGGGACGAAGAAAGUGACGGUACCUGAGGAAUAAGCCACGGCUAACUACGUGCCAGCAGCCGCGGUAAUACGUAGGUGGCAAGCGUUAUCCGGAUUUAUUGGGUGUAAAGGGCGUGUAGGCGGGAGCGCAAGUCAGAUGUGAAAACUCAGGGCUCAACCCUGAGCCUGCAUUUGAAGCUGUGUUUCUUGAGUGCUGGAGAGGCAAUCGGAAUUCCGUGUGUAGCGGUGAAAUGCGUAGAUAUACGGAGGAACACCGAUUGCGAAGGCAGUUCACUGGACUGCAACUGACACUGAGGCUCGAAAGUGUGGGUAUCAAACAGGAUUAGAUACCCCAGUAGUC